This 2950-nucleotide ribosomal RNA is filed under the name Treponemataceae bacterium. Its description in RNAcentral is "23S ribosomal RNA". It matches the Rfam family "Bacterial large subunit ribosomal RNA". The record is from RNAcentral. Lineage: Bacteria; Pseudomonadati; Spirochaetota; Spirochaetia; Treponematales; Treponemataceae.
GGUCAAGCGAGAUAUAGGUCUGUGGCGGAUGCCUGUGGAGCCGUAAGGCGAUGAAGGACGCGGCAAGCUGCGAGAAGCCGCGGGGAGGGGCACGCACCCUUUGAUCCGCGGAUGUCCGAAUGGGGUAACCCGGGCGCGGCAACGCGCCCGCCGUACGCGUGAAUGAAAUAGCGCGGCGGAGCCAUACCGGGUGAAGUGAACCAUCUAAGUAACCCGGGAGAAGAAAUCAAGAGAGAUUCCGCAAGUAGCGGCGAGCGAACGCGGAUGAGCCCAAACCGCCUUAGGCGGGGUUGUAGGGCCGCAUGGGGAUGACCCGUGGAGUUGGGAGAAAACGCGAGCGCAGCGGAAGGGCAUGGGAAUGCCCGCCGGAGAGGGUGACAGCCCCGUACGCGAAGAGCGAGCGUCUCCAUGAUGCGGUUCCUGAGUACGGCGGGACACGAGGAAUCCUGUCGGAAUCCGGGUCGACCACGAUCCAAGGCUAAAUACUAGACGGCUACCGAUAGCGAACGAGUACCGUGAGGGAAAGGCGAAAAGAACCCCGGCGAGGGGAGUGAAAUAGAACCUGAAACCACAGACCGGCAAGAUGUCACGGCCCGCGAGGGUGGUGGCGUGCCUUUUGUAGAAUGAGCCUGCGAGUUGCGGUACGCGGCGAGGUUAAGGGAUGGGAGUCCCGGAGCCGGAGCGAAAGCGAGUGCGAAGCGCGCGUGUUCAAGUCGCGUGCCGCAGACCCGAAGCCAAGGUGAUCUAGUCAUGGGCAGGCUGAAGCGCGGGUAACGCCGCGUGGAGGGCCGAACGGUAAUCUGUUAAAAAAGGUAGCGAUGACCCGUGACUCGGAGUGAAAGGCUAAACAAACCUGGAGAUAGCUGGCUCUCCCCGAAAUGCCUUUAGGGACAGCCUCAUGGAAAGCUUGCGGAGGUAGAGCACUGGAUGGAUGCGGGGGAGUCAAAUCCUACCAAGUUCAAUCAAACUCCGAAUGCCGCAAGCCGGCCCAUGGGAGUGAGACCGCGUGCGCUAAGGUUCGCGGUCGAGAGGGAAACAGCCCGGACCGCCGGCUAAGGUCCCGAAACCAUGCUGAGUGUUAAAUGAGGUGCGGAUGCGCAGACAGCCAGGAGGUUGGCUUAGAAGCAGCCAUUCCUUGAAAGAGUGCGUAACAGCUCACUGGUCGAGCAUCCGUGCGCAGACAAUGUAACGGGGCUAAGCAUGGUACCGAAGCCGCGGAUUCAUGCCGCAUGGCAUGACUGGUAGGGGAGCAUUCCGCUGACCGGCGAAGGCGUACCCGCGAGGGGUGCUGGAGGAGGCGGAAGAGAGAAUGCAGGCAUAAGUAACGAAAAGACGGGUGGGAUUCCCGUCCGCCGAAAACCUAAGGUUUCCGGGGUAAAGGCAAUCUUCCCCGGGUAAGUCGGCCCCUAAGGCGAGGCGGAAACGCGUAGCCGAUGGGAAAUCGGUCUAGAGUCCGAUACUCCGUGCAGUUUCGACGGCAGGACGCAUGAGGCGAAGUCCGGCAGGGCGACGGUUGUCCCUGUCCAAUCAGCGAGCCGAAGAGGGGGGCAGGCAAACCCACUCCCCGAGGUGAGCUGAAGGCGAGCUGAGAGAAAGUCGAUGCGAAGCGGGCGUAGUCAUGGUGCCGGGAAAUACUGCCUAAGGCUAGGCUGUACGGAACCGUACCGCAGACGGACACACGUAGGUGGGAUGAGAAAUCUGAGGCGCACGAGCGAACUCGCGUUAAGGAACUCGGCAAAAUGCACACGUAACUUCGGAAGAAGUGUGGCUCCUGUUGUAGCAGAUGAGGAGCGGCAGAAAGCAGGCCCAGGCGACUGUUUAUCAAAAACACAGCCAUCUGCGAACCAGCAAUGGGACGUAUAGGUGGUGACACCUGCCCGGUGCCGGAAGGUUAAGGGGAGUGGUCAGCGGCGACGCGAAGCCCCGAACUGAAGCCCCGGUAAACGGCGGCCGUAACUAUAACGGUCCUAAGGUAGCGAAAUUCCUUGUCGGGUAAGUUCCGACCCGCACGAAUGGUGUAACGAUUCUGGGCGCUGUCUCAACGCGAGGCUCGGUGAAAUUUAUGUGCCGGUAAAGAAGCCGGCUACCCAUAAUUAGACGGAAAGACCCCGUGAACCUUCACCGCAACUUAAUAUUGGGAUCUUAUUCAUCAUGUGUAGGAUAGCUGGGAGGCUGUGAUGCGUGGCCGUCAGGUUGCGCGGAGCCGCCGGUGAAAUACCAGCCUUGGUGGAUGGGGUUUCUAACCCUCUCCCUGGAGCGGGGGCGGGGACAAUGUUAGGCGGGCGGUUUGACUGGGGCGGUCGCCUCCCAAACGGUAACGGAGGUGCGCGAAGGUCUCCUCGCGGUGGUCGGAAAUCACCGUACGAGUGUAAAGGCACAAGGAGGCUUGACUGCGAGGGAGACAUCCCGAGCAGGUACGAAAGUAGGUCUUAAUGAUCUGGCGGUUCCGAGUGGAAGGGCCGUCACUUAACGGACAAAAGGUACUCCGGGGAUAACAGGCUGAUUUUCCCCAAGAGUUCACAUCGACGGGAAAGUUUGGCACCUCGAUGUCGGCUCAUCGCAUCCUGGGGCUGGAGCAGGUCCCAAGGGUUCGGCUGUUCGCCGAUUAAAGCGGUACGUGAGCUGGGUUCAGAACGUCGCGAGACAGUUCGGUCCCUAUCUGUUAUGGGCGUUGGAUGUCUGAGAGGAUCUGCUUUUAGUACGAGAGGACCGAAGUGGACGAACCUCUGGUAUGCCGGUUGUGCCGCCAGGCGCAGGUGCCGGGUAGCUAAGUUCGGGACGGAUAACCGCUGAAAGCAUCUAAGCGGGAAGCCGGCCUCAAGACGAGACAUCCCCGGGGACAUCGGUCCCCCUGAAGGCUCCCGGGAGACUACCGGGUCGAUAGGCUGCAGGUGCAAGCGCCGCGAGGCGUUCAGCCGAGCAGUACUAAUAAGCCGUGAGGCUUGGCCAU